AUUGCUCUCCAUAUUCAGCGAGGUCUGGCGGACCUGAUCCGCACUGUCGGAUCAGGUCUACCAAACCUUGUUAAAUAGAGGCCCAUUUAUUCAAUUCAUUUUUGGAACAGGGAGAUGGAAGAAGAGCUUGUUCUGUCCACUCCACGCUUUGGCCUGGUAUUGCAGUUCCGCCAGAAGCAGUGUUCCUCUG
Small nuclear RNA from Bombina bombina (fire-bellied toad), 190 nucleotides. RefSeq annotates it as U2 spliceosomal RNA. The record is from RefSeq and is a predicted model, not a curated record. Lineage: Eukaryota; Metazoa; Chordata; Amphibia; Anura; Bombinatoridae. The transcript has a single exon.